RNAcentral lists this ribosomal RNA (284 nucleotides) under uncultured Rhodocyclaceae bacterium. Its description in RNAcentral is "partial 16S ribosomal RNA". It matches the Rfam family "Bacterial small subunit ribosomal RNA", at positions 1098 to 1382 of the family's 1533-position model. Lineage: Bacteria; Pseudomonadati; Pseudomonadota; Betaproteobacteria; Rhodocyclales; Rhodocyclaceae. The record is from RNAcentral.
GCAACCCUUGUCACUAGUUGCCAUCAUUUGGUUGGGCACUCUAGUGAGACUGCCGGUGACAAACCGGAGGAAGGUGGGGAUGACGUCAAGUCCUCAUGGCCCUUAUGGGUAGGGCUUCACACGUCAUACAAUGGUCGGUACAGAGGGUUGCCAACCCGCGAGGGGGAGCUAAUCCCACAAAGCCGAAUCGUAGUCCGGAUCGCAGUCUGCAACUCGACUGCGUGAAGUCGGAAUCGCUAGUAAUCGUGGAUCAGCAUGUCACGGUGAAUACGUUCCCGGGUCUU